CCUACGGGAGGCAGCAGUGAGGAAUAUUGGUCAAUGGACGAGAGUCUGAACCAGCCAAGUAGCGUGAAGGAUGACUGCCCUAUGGGUUGUAAACUUCUUUUAUAUGGGAAUAAAACGUUCCACGUGUGGGAUUUUGUAUGUACCAUAUGAAUAAGGAUCGGCUAACUCCGUGCCAGCAGCCGCGGUAAUACGGAGGAUCCGAGCGUUAUCCGGAUUUAUUGGGUUUAAAGGGAGCGUAGGUGGAUUGUUAAGUCAGUUGUGAAAGUUUGCGGCUCAACCGUAAAAUUGCAGUUGAAACUGGCAGUCUUGAGUACAGUAGAGGUGUGCGGAAUUCGUGGUGUAGCGGUGAAAUGCUUAGAUAUCACGAAGAACUUCGAUUGCGAAGGCAGUUCACUGGACUGCAACUGACACUGAGGCUCGAAAGUGUGGGUAUCAAACAGGAUUAGAUACCCUGGUAGUC
This 460-nucleotide ribosomal RNA is filed under the name uncultured bacterium. RNAcentral describes it as "partial 16S ribosomal RNA". It matches the Rfam family "Bacterial small subunit ribosomal RNA", at positions 338 to 795 of the family's 1533-position model. The record is from RNAcentral.